ACACGACUACAUUAGAUACCCCUGUAGUCCAGGGUGUAAACGCUGCGGGCUUGGUGUUGGGGGUCCUUAGUGGGCGCCCAGUGCCGGAGAGAAGUUGUUAAGCCUGCUGCUUGGGGAGUAUGUCCGCAAGGAUGAAACUUAAAGGAAUUGGCGGGGGAGCACCGCAACGGGAGGAGCGUGCGGUUCAAUUGGAUUCAACGCCGGACAACUCACCAGGAGCGACGGUUACAUGAAGGCCAGGCUGAUGACCUUGCCUGAUUUUCCG
Molecule: ribosomal RNA, 265 nt
Filed under: uncultured archaeon
Lineage: Archaea
Description: partial 16S ribosomal RNA
Rfam family: Archaeal small subunit ribosomal RNA
Source: RNAcentral